This is a long non-coding RNA of Panicum virgatum (switchgrass), 2209 nucleotides long. RefSeq lists it as uncharacterized. The transcript is spliced from 5 exons. NCBI's taxonomy places the organism in Eukaryota, Viridiplantae, Streptophyta, Magnoliopsida, Poales, Poaceae. The record is from RefSeq and is a predicted model, not a curated record.
UCACUUCACACGUUAUCAGCACUGCUUCGCUCUUGCCAUUUUGGAACUUGCCGAGGAACAAGAACAAGGGGAGGCCCCCUGGCCUCCACCACUGGAAGGUAAGAACAAUGGCGCUCAGAAACUCACCGUCAGUGAACCUUCUUGUUCAAGCCGUCUGCAACGUUCUUCGUCAAGUCCUGCGUCGACCCGUCCUCGGACUCCACAGCCGGAGUCAUCCUAUGCACCUUGGCCGCCGCGACAUCCGAGUCCAGAACGCUGGAGUACGUCUUCCAUGCCGCAGCCACGCCCUGCUUGAGGUCGACAACCGCCACGCUGAACCUCUGCGCAUCGCCGGCCCUUGUCGCGGUAUUCGUCGUCUUCAUGCUAUGCGCGUUGGAGGCCGUCGUCGUCCGCACCCUCAACGCCUAACGCCGAAUCACGAUGCCGUCAGACCAAGCACCUGGCUCCAGGCCGCGAACCCGGCGCCGCCCCCACCGCACCAAGCCGCGGCACCAGCGCCGUCUCCACCGCACCAUGUUGCCACCCCGAGGAAGCCACCACGUUGGAUGCCCUCACACCGCUCAUUCCCCUUGCCGACACCCGCUUCAUCAUCUUCCACGCCGGUCUUCAUCCCGGGACUCCAUGCCGUGGCGGCGCCGUUACCAACUCUGGCUCCCCCGGACUUCGGCGGGCACAGCACCUUCACCAGCAACGGCGGUGGCAGCCCAGAGCGCGGAUUCCCCAUGGCAGCGCGGCGCGGAGCCACCCCCUUCUUCAACCCCGGCACUGGGACCGGCGGAUCCGCCGCCCCUGCACCACCAGCGCGGGCAGGAAGCCCGCUGGAACGCGAUGGCGGUGGCAAAUCGGAGCCCGGGCCUCAUCCGCACGUGGGUCAAUGUUCCCCACGGCGAAGCGGCCUGGCGCCACCGAACGGCAUCCACCAGGAGCAGGGAUCCUCCUCCACGUCGGGGGAGUACAUGCCGGCCUAAGCCGGCCACCGCGCGGAGGAGCAAGCGGCCGGGGGACCGGCGGCGGAGGACCUGGCGGCGGCGGCGGCGGUGGUGGAGCAGUGAAGGGAAAUCCUAACCCUAGCCAGCCAGCCAGCUUGCUGAAUGACCCGAGUUGGGCCGAAAAUGGGCCUGAGAGGCCGAAUUUGUUACCUGCUCCUUGCCCGGUUUUAUUUAUUUUUAAUAUUUUUUAAUCAUUAUUUACAGAAAUUAUACUUAUUUUUUUUUACAGAAAUAGCCAUCGUGGCUAAUGGCGCCAAGGGAUCUGGCGCCAUGGUCCAGGGCGCUAGGAUACAUUUAGAUCCUGACACUCUGUGAUAUUGGGAUCUGCCCAUGGCGCUAGGAUCCAAAUGUAAAUUAUUUUUUAACAUUUGGAUCCUGACGCCCUAGGCCACAGCGCCAGGGUCCCACAUCCCUAUAAAAUCUCCUUCACUUUUAUUUCCCUCCUCAUUUUAUCCUCACGCGACCAGAAAGAGAGGGGCGAGGAGUGAGUGAGGAAAGUAGCGAAGGUCUGCCGGAAUUUUCACGCAUCACUUUCAGGGUUUACCGCGGCUCACCACUGAGUCACAUCGAGCAGAGGGAGCAUCUAUUGAGGUCUAGGGAUCAAGCUUUGUACCUCCUCAACACGUUUGGCUGGUAUUCUCAAGUUGAAUCCUCGCAGGCCCCACCAGCACAGUCACAGUCGUACAACAUAGGAUCGCGGAUGCCUAUGAGACCUUCAUCAUAUAUGGGAGUGGGACCUUCUCAUGCUCCCACUCAGAUCUACGCGAGAUCGUUCUUCACAGUACCGCGCGUGUGUACGGGAGCCGAAAUGCAUAUAGGAGCCGGUUCUGCUCACGCCACAGGGAUGUUCGGAUCUUCGCACGUGGCGACACCCAUCUUCGAGGGUCUCAACACCAAUGACCUGCUUUGUUUCUCCAUGGACGAGCUGUGUGGAACCGAUGGCAAUACCAAUUUCGACAUUCUCGGUUCGUCACAGAUAGGAGGCGCUCAACUCUACCCAUCACAGAACGCACCUACACAGACCCUACUGCCAGAGCCACGUCCAACUCGAGACGUAGCUUCUCCGGAUCGUUUUACCUACUCCGAAGGUCACGUUCGCGCGCAGGACCAGACAAGGAGGACACAUCGUCGUGGGGAAGGGUAGACUAGUUUCGCUAUGUGUUUGAUGGACUGUAACACAUGAACUUAAUAAUAAUUCAUGCGAAGUUGCAUUUAGUUUA